AUUGAACGCUGGCGGCAGGCCUAACACAUGCAAGUCGAACGGUAACAGGAAGAAGCUUGCUUCUUUGCUGACGAGUGGCGGACGGGUGAGUAAUGUCUGGGAAACUGCCUGAUGGAGGGGGAUAAUUACUGGAAACGGUAGCUAAUACCGCAUAACGUCGCAAGACCAAAGAGGGGGACCUUCGGGCCUCUUGCCAUCGGAUGUGCCCAGAUGGGAUUAGCUAGUAGGUGGGGUAACGGCUCACCUAGGCGACGAUCCCUAGCUGGUCUGAGAGGAUGACCAGCCACACUGGAACUGAGACACGGUCCAGACUCCUACGGGAGGCAGCAGUGGGGAAUAUUGCACAAUGGGCGCAAGCCUGAUGCAGCCAUGCCGCGUGUAUGAAGAAGGCCUUCGGGUUGUAAAGUACUUUCAGCGGGGAGGAAGGGAGUAAAGUUAAUACCUUUGCUCAUUGACGUUACCCGCAGAAGAAGCACCGGCUAACUCCGUG
RNAcentral lists this ribosomal RNA (490 nucleotides) under uncultured bacterium. RNAcentral's name for it is "partial 16S ribosomal RNA". It matches the Rfam family "Bacterial small subunit ribosomal RNA", at positions 30 to 507 of the family's 1533-position model. The record is from RNAcentral.